This 384-nucleotide ribosomal RNA is filed under the name Bradyrhizobium japonicum. Its description in RNAcentral is "bacterial LSU rRNA". It matches the Rfam family "Bacterial large subunit ribosomal RNA", at positions 1 to 270 of the family's 2925-position model. RNAcentral also lists the same sequence under 1 other name. The record is from RNAcentral. Lineage: Bacteria; Pseudomonadati; Pseudomonadota; Alphaproteobacteria; Hyphomicrobiales; Nitrobacteraceae.
AAUCAAGUGCCUUAAGGGUGUUCGGUGGAUGCCUUGGCGCUGAGAGGCGAUGAAGGACGUGCUACGCUGCGAUAAGCCGUGGGGAGCUGCGAAGAAGCUUUGAUCCAUGGAUUUCCGAAUGGGGAAACCCACCUUCGAUAGCCGGAACUCCAAGACCUUUGUCGAAAGACAAUGGUGUGGGGUUCGAACAGAAAUGUGAGAUGCCUGAGCCUUUAGAUUUCGAUCGAAGAGGUUUUGGAUUUCCGGUUAUCAAGAGAAGGUAUGAGACUUCUGAAUACAUAGGAGGUUUCAAGCAAACCCAGGGAACUGAAACAUCUAAGUACCUGGAGGAAAGGACAUCAACAGAGACUCCGUUAGUAGUGGCGAGCGAACGCGGACCAGGCC